This 253-nucleotide ribosomal RNA is filed under the name uncultured bacterium. Its description in RNAcentral is "partial 16S ribosomal RNA". It matches the Rfam family "Bacterial small subunit ribosomal RNA", at positions 524 to 776 of the family's 1533-position model. The record is from RNAcentral.
UACGUAGGUGACAAGCGUUGUCCGGAUUUACUGGGCGUAAAGAGCGCGCAGGCGGUCGAUCAAGUCGAGUGUGAAAGCCCCCGGCUCAACUGGGGAGGGUCAUUCGAUACUGAUCGACUCGAAGGCAGGAGAGGGUAGUGGAAUUCCCGGUGUAGUGGUGAAAUGCGUAGAUAUCGGGAGGACCACCAGUGGCGAAGGCGACUACCUGGCCUGUUCUUGACGCUGAGGCGCGAAAGCUAGGGGAGCAAACGGG